Molecule: transfer RNA, 74 nt
Filed under: bacterium
Lineage: Bacteria
Also listed under: 6 other names
Description: tRNA-Arg
Rfam family: tRNA
About the family: Transfer RNA (tRNA) molecules are approximately 80 nucleotides in length. Their secondary structure includes four short double-helical elements and three loops (D, anti-codon, and T loops).
Source: RNAcentral
GUGCCCGUAGCUCAGCUGGAUAGAGCGUCGGUCUCCGAAGCCGAAGGCCUUGAGUUCGAAUCUCAACGGGCACA